GUGAGGUAUUAGUAAAAAUUACAUAACUUUGUCAAAGUUAAAUUAUGGGUGGGACCCCCAUAUACCCCU
RNAcentral lists this transfer RNA (69 nucleotides) under Diaemus youngi. Its description in RNAcentral is "tRNA-Asp". Lineage: Eukaryota; Metazoa; Chordata; Mammalia; Chiroptera; Phyllostomidae. The record is from RNAcentral.